This 1097-nucleotide long non-coding RNA is filed under the name Lathyrus oleraceus (garden pea). RNAcentral describes it as "Pisum sativum (pea) long non-coding RNA (PSAT_LNC032947)". The record is from RNAcentral. Lineage: Eukaryota; Viridiplantae; Streptophyta; Magnoliopsida; Fabales; Fabaceae.
UUUUCACCACAUGUCAUCCGUAAACAAGUUGAUGCCAAUAUUCUGUCCUAAAAUCCUUAACCAAUAGGAACCGAUUAUGUAAUCUGAUCAUAAUUGAAGUAAAAGAACAUUCAAAUCAGAAUGCUGUCAACAAUUUUUGAUAAAACAAUGCAAGCCCAAAAAUGCUGAGAUUGAUAUGGCACUUAAAAUUCUGUCUAUUCUAUCUUAAAAUCUUAAGAAAUAAGUUGGCCUUAAUUCAACUUUAUAAAGCUAAGAUCAAAGAUGCUGACCACUUAUAACCACUAUUUAAACCCCCAAGGGGUUGGUCUGUGGUGAAGGCUUUGGUCCUGAGAUUGUGCUCCUCUCAAGGUCACAUGUUCGAAUUCCGUUAGGUGCAAACAAUUCCUGUGUUGGGCCAAGUUCAUACGGAGCCUUGCUCUGGCUUUAAGCAAGACGCCCGCAAGUGAACAGUGGGAUUGGUCUCCUUGGAUUAGUCAGGCAAAGGCAGAAUACCAAGAUUUCAGAAAAAAAAAACUUAUAACCACUAUUCAUAUCAUAUUACUAUCCAAGUCAUGACUUUCAACAUUCUAUAAUGUAACAUUCAUUCAGUUCCCUAAUUGUUUUACAAUAUAACUCCUUUUCAUGUUUCGAAUUUAGAAAGUGAAUUCAUAAGUAUUUUACAGGUGACCAUAAGUAACCACAAAAUGCGCAACAGUUCGAAGAAACAUUUCAACAAACAGUUAAUGGGCAUUCAACGUAAAGACAUAUAUUACAUAAAAACCAAAAUAAAAUUAUUAAAACAUGUCACUAGAUCAAAUGGGUUUUCAACGGUGUGAAAAAUUUCAAUGUAGAAUGGCAUGUUAGGAAGAGAUUGUUGGUUUAGUAGAGGUACAAAAGAGUGAAUUAGAAUUGACUAAGAAGGGUGAAACAGUGCAAUUAGAAUAUUGAAGAAGCGGAGAAGAUGAAUAACCUGAUGAUGAGAUUGGAAGUUGUGCUAUACGCAUGCAUCGGUGAUGAUAAGAAGCUAGAAUUUAGCUGUGUUUUGGAAAAUGCUUGAAGCCAUAACUGGAAAAUGCAAUUUACUCUAUUUCUUUCUUUCUUUGGAAAAUGAACCGUUU